GAUUAUCUGUGACAUCCUUAAGAUUUAAAAUAAUUGUAUCUAUAAGGUAUAGUAAAGCUAAACUUCUUAAACCAACUGUAAUAUUUUGAACGGUUAAGAGCGUUAAACGAGUCAAGAGGUAGAGAGUAGUUUUAGGAUGGAUGAAGUUUCCAAAAAGUGGCACAUUACAGUUGAUUUGGAGUCGAUCACUAGUCAGAAGUAUGAGAUAAGUCUUAACUGAGCCGGGGUUACACAGCUGGCAGGAGCACAGCUUUCUGACUGACGACAGUAUUGGGAGAAGCUUGGCUCUCCAAAAGAUUGGCUAAGGCUAAAAAGAUAAAUCUCAUAUCGCCUGACGCUUAUGAGCAUCUCUACAUAAAAAAGCCAGGGUUUAAAGAGGAAAAAAUAUGACAACUGUCAAAUUUAGAAUAGUGAUAAAAAGG
Molecule: long non-coding RNA, 422 nt
Filed under: Ananas comosus (pineapple)
Lineage: Eukaryota; Viridiplantae; Streptophyta; Magnoliopsida; Poales; Bromeliaceae
Description: long non-coding RNA (ACOM_LNC021512)
Source: RNAcentral